CGGACGGGUGAGUGAUGCCUAGGAAUCUGCCUGGUAGUGGGGGACGAACGUUUCGAAAGGAACGCUAAUACCGCAUACGUCCUACGGAGAAAGCAGGGACCUUCGGGCCUUGCGCUGUCAGAUGAGCCUAGGUCGGAUUAGCUAGUUGGUGAGGUAAUGGCUCACCAAGGCGACGACCCGUAACUGGUCUGAGAGGAUGAUCAGUCACACUGGAACUGAGACACGGUCCAGACUCCUACAGGAGGCAGCAGAG
Molecule: ribosomal RNA, 253 nt
Filed under: uncultured Pseudomonas sp.
Lineage: Bacteria; Pseudomonadati; Pseudomonadota; Gammaproteobacteria; Pseudomonadales; Pseudomonadaceae
Description: partial 16S ribosomal RNA
Rfam family: Bacterial small subunit ribosomal RNA
Source: RNAcentral